UGAGGCAUCUUGAUUGUAUUAAAGUUGGGCUACAACACGCAAAGAUGAGUUUAUGUCGCAUUAGUUAGUUGGUGAGGGUAAAGGCCCACCAAGACGAUGAUGCGUAGCCGAUCUGAGAGGAUGAACGGCCACAUUGGGACUGAGACACGGCCCAGACUCCUACGGGAGGCAGCAGUAGGGAAUUUUCGGCAAUGAGGGGAACCUUGACCGAGCAACGCCGCGUGAACGAGGAAGGUCUUUGGAUCGCAGAGUUCUGUUGUAAGGGAAGAACAUUAUAGAUAGGGAAUGAUCUAUAGCUGACGGUACCUUGCCAGAAAGCCACGGCUAACUACGUGCCAGCAGCCGCGGUAAUACGUAGGUGGCGAGCGUUACCCGGAAUCAUUGGGCGUAAAGGGUGCGUAGGCGGCAGAUUAAGUUUGUGGUGAAAGAGCAAGGCUCAACCUUGUUAAGCCACAAAAACUGGUCAGCUAGAGUGCAGUAGAGGCAAGUGGAAUUCCAUGUGUAGCGGUAAAAUGUGUAGAUAUAUGGAGGAACACCGGUGGCGAAGGCGGCUUGCUGGGCUGUAACUGACGCUGAGGCACGAAAGCGUGGGGAGCAAAUAGGAUUAGAUACCCUAGUAGUCCACGCUGUAAACGAUGAAUACUAAGUGUUGGAGAGAUCCAGUGCUGCAGUUAACGCAAUAAGUAUUCCGCCUGGGGAGUAUGCACGCAAGUGUGAGACUCAAAGGAAUUGACGGGGACCCGCACAAGCGGUGGAUUAUGUGGUUUAAUUCGACGCAACGCGAAGAACCUUACCAAGCCUUGACAUCCCGAGCGAAGCUAUAGAGAUAUAGUGGAGGUUACCUCGGAGACAGGUGGUGCAUGGUUGUCGUCAGCUCGUGUCGUGAGAUGUUGGGUUAAGUCCCGCAACGAGCGCAACCCUUGUUUUCAGUUACCAGCAUUAAGUUGGGGACUCUGGAGAGACUGCCGGUGACAAACCGGAGGAAGGUGGGGAUGACGUCAAAUCAGCAUGCCCCUUAUGGCUUGGGCUACACACGUAAUACAAUGGCGUAUACAAAGGGAAGCGAACCCGCGAGGGGAAGCAAAUCUCAUAAAGUACGUCUCAGUUCGGAUUAGAGUCUGCAACUCGACUCUAUGAAGUUGGAAUCGCUAGUAAUCGUAGAUCAGCACGCUACGGUGAAUACGUUCUCGGGUCUUGUACACACCGCCCGUCAA
RNAcentral lists this ribosomal RNA (1214 nucleotides) under uncultured bacterium. RNAcentral's name for it is "bacterial SSU rRNA". It matches the Rfam family "Bacterial small subunit ribosomal RNA", at positions 184 to 1400 of the family's 1533-position model. The record is from RNAcentral.